GGAGGGAUCAUUACUGAGUGAGGGCGCUCGCCGCCCGACCUCCCACCCUUUUGUGAACCCACCUCGUUGCCUCGGGGGUGAGCCGGCCUCUCGCGCCUGGCGCCCCCGGCGGACCGCAACCAUUCCACUCUGCGUCUUUGCGUCUGAGUCUGAAACGAAAUCAAAUCAAAACUUUCAACAACGGAUCUCUUGGUUCUGGCAUCGAUGAAGAACGCAGCGAAAUGCGAUAAGUAAUGUGAAUUGCAGAAUUCAGUGAAUCAUCGAAUCUUUGAACGCACAUUGCGCCCUUUGGUAUUCCGAGGGGCAUGCCUGUUCGAGCGUCAUUACACCCAUCAAGCCUGGCUUGGUAUUGGGGCACGGGGGCAACCCGGACCCGAAAAUCACCGGCUGGCGGACCCCGAUCGCAGCGUUGUGGCAUCCAAUGUCGCUGACGUGACGGGCGGCCGUGCCGUUAAACCACCCUUUCUCAAGGUUGACCUCGGAUCAGGUAGGGAUACCCGCUGAACUUAAGCAUAUUAAUAAGCGGAGGAAAAGAAACCAACAGGGAUUGCCCUAGUAACGGCGAGUGAAGCGGCAACAGCUCAAAUUUGAAAUCUGGCGCAAGCCCGAGUUGUAAUUUGUAGAGGAUGCUUCUAGGCAGCGGCCGGUCUAAGUUUCUUGGAACAGGACGUCAUAGAGGGUGAGAAUCCCGUAUGCGACCGGCUGGCACCUUUCACGUAGCUCCUUCGACGAGUCGAGUUGUUUGGGAAUGCAGCUCUAAAUGGGAGGUAAAUUUCUUCUAAAGCUAAAUACCGGCCAGAGACCGAUAGCGCACAAGUAGAGUGAUCGAAAGAUGAAAAGCACUUUGGAAAGAGAGUUAAAAAGCACGUGAAAUUGUUGAAAGGGAAGCGCUUGCAACCAGACUUGUCGGCGGUGUUCCGCCGGUCUUCUGACCGGUCUACUCGCCGUCGACAGGCCAGCAUCGUCUCGGGCCGCCGGAUAAAGGCGUGAGGAAUGUGGCUCCUCCGGGAGUGUUAUAGCCUCGCGCACAAUACGGCGCGCCGGGGGCGAGGUCCGCACUUCGGUCAGGAUGCUGGCGUAAUGGUCGUAAGCGGCCCGUCUUGAAACACGGACCAAGGAGUGGACUAUCUAUGCGAGUGUUCGGGUGUCAAACCCCUACGCGUAAUGAAAGUGAACGGAGGCGAGAACUUCGGUGCAUCGUCGACCGAUCCUGAUAUCUUUGGAUGGAUUUGAGUAAGAGCAUAGCUAGUCCGACCCGAAAGAUGGUGAACUAUGCCUGAAUAGGGUGAAGCCAGAGGAAACUCUGGUGGAGGCUCGCAGCGGUUCUGACGUGCAAAUCGAUCGUCAAAUUUGGGUAUAGGGGCGAAAGACUAAUCGAACCAUCUAGUAGCUGGUUCCUGC
This 1401-nucleotide unclassified non-coding RNA is filed under the name uncultured fungus. RNAcentral's name for it is "sequence contains 18S rRNA gene, ITS1, 5.8S rRNA gene, ITS2, 28S rRNA gene". The stretch from base 474 to 1401 matches the Rfam family "Eukaryotic large subunit ribosomal RNA", at positions 1 to 961 of the family's 3401-position model. The record is from RNAcentral. Lineage: Eukaryota; Fungi.